Molecule: ribosomal RNA, 408 nt
Filed under: uncultured soil bacterium
Lineage: Bacteria
Description: bacterial SSU rRNA
Rfam family: Bacterial small subunit ribosomal RNA
Source: RNAcentral
CAGCCGCCGCGGUAAUUCGAAGGGGGCUAGCGUUGCUCGGAAUGACUGGGCGUAAAGGGCGCGUAGGCGGUUUGGACAGUCAGAUGUGAAAUUCCUGGGCUCAACCUGGGGGCUGCAUUUGAUACGUUCGGACUAGAGUGGGGAAGAGGGUCGUGGAAUUCCCAGUGUAGAGGUGAAAUUCGUAGAUAUUGGGAAGAACACCGGUGGCGAAGGCGGCGACCUGGUCCUUGACUGACGCUGAGGCGCGAAAGCGUGGGGAGCAAACAGGAUUAGAUACCCUGGUAGUCCACGCCGUAAACGAUGUGCGCUGGAUGUUGGGCGGCCUAGCCGUUCAGUGUCGCAGCUAACGCGAUAAGCGCACCGCCUGGGGAGUACGGCCGCAAGGUUGAAACUUAAAGGAAUUGACGG